RNAcentral lists this unclassified non-coding RNA (349 nucleotides) under soil metagenome. Its description in RNAcentral is "partial contains 5.8S ribosomal RNA, internal transcribed spacer 2, and large subunit ribosomal RNA". The stretch from base 1 to 120 matches the Rfam family "5.8S ribosomal RNA", at positions 35 to 154 of the family's 154-position model. The record is from RNAcentral.
GAUGAAGAACGCAGUGAAAUGCGAUAACUAAUGUGAAUUGCAGAAUUCCGUGAAUCAUCGAGUCUUUGAACGCACAUUGCGCCCCCUGGUAUUCCGGGGGGCAUGCCUGUCCGAGCGUCAUUGCUGCCCAUCAAGCACGGCUUGUGUGUUGGGUCCUCGUCCCCCCCGGGGGACGUGCCCGAAAGGCAGCGGCGGCACCGCGUCCGGUCCUCGAGCGUAUGGGGCUUUGUCACCCGCUCUGCAGGCCCAGCCGGCGCUGGCCGACGCGAAAGCAACCAUUUUUUCUCCAGGUUGACCUCGGAUCAGGUAGGGAUACCCGCUGAACUUAAGCAUAUCAAUAAGCGGAGGA